Molecule: ribosomal RNA, 253 nt
Filed under: uncultured bacterium
Lineage: Bacteria
Description: partial 16S ribosomal RNA
Rfam family: Bacterial small subunit ribosomal RNA
Source: RNAcentral
UACGGAGGGGGCUAGCGUUGUUCGGAAUUACUGGGCGUAAAGCGCGCGUAGGCGGAUCUGCAAGUCGGGGGUGAAAUCCCGAGGCUCAACCUCGGAACUGCCUUCGAUACCGCGGGUCUCGAGUCCGGGAGAGGUGAGUGGAAUUCCUAGUGUAGAGGUGAAAUUCGUAGAUAUUAGGAAGAACACCAGUGGCGAAGGCGGCUCACUGGCCCGGUACUGACGCUGAGGCGCGAAAGCGUGGGGAGCAAACAGG